AUGCGUGCAGCUUGCACACAGCCAAGGAAAAGCUCAACGUUGUCGGAAACGCUUAGUCACACUUCUCACCUGUCUUCUUGCUCAGGUGAAAAAGAGCUCAAAGUAGCCAAUCAGAAUCCUGAAACAGAGCUAAACAUUAUUAAAGAACUACUAAACGAGUUCAGAGGGCUUCACGAGCUGAGGUUAAGAUGCUUGGAGGAGGACACCACUAGAAGGGGAGAACUCCCACAGAAGAAAGUGGACUUCCUGCAGUCUUACGUGAAUGACCUCACAGACCACAUCCAGGUGCUUGUUCAGACCAUUGAGGAUUUGCAAAGGGGAGCUGGACAGAACCAUGAUCGUGUUUUGGCUGUGUCUGGGGUUGGGUUGAAGCCUUUGUUGCUGGAUGAGGUCACUGGACCUGUGGCUCACAUCCCUCGCAGCAGUGGUUCCGUGGACCAGAUGACGUCUGAGACGGAGGAUGUGAAAAUCCAGCUGCAAACCAAUGACACGAUCGUCUCGGAUCUGGAGAGGGAGCUCGCAGAGAAUAUACAACAAAAGCAAAAGACUGCGACGCAGGUGCUGGAAAGCGGCGAGAGGCUGGUGCACCUGCAGAGCGAGCUGUCUUGUCUGCGGCGGAUCCACGAAGACAACAUGAAGGAGAUUGCUGAGAAAGACAUCUGCAUCACCAAACUGCAAGCUAACAUUCAGCUCCUGCAACAGGAGGGGGCUGACACGCGUGCUCAGUUGGAGGCCAGCAGGAAGCAGGUGGAACGUCAGAGGAGGGAGUUAUCAGAGCUUCACCAGAAGGAGGAGACACUUUUGUGUGAGACCAAGGCCAAAAUGGUGCAUUUGAAAGACAAGCUCCGUGACGGUUUCAAGAGAAGGGCGGAGGAGAAAGAGGCGAGGAUUAAGCAACUAACUGACGAGCUGAAUGGAACGAGGCAAAAGUUACAAAUAAGUGAGGGUAUGUUAAGUGAUAUCACGGCUGCCCUGGAUCGGACCACCACCAACCUGAAUGCAGACAGACAGCAGAUCUUAGGCCAGCUGCAUCACACGAGCAAAGAGGUUGAACGUCUACAGCUGGAAUUAGCUCUCGAGCGUCGCACCGGUGAAAAGAAGAUACAGAAGAGGGAGGUUAAGAUGUGUACACUGAUGAAGGAGCUCACAGAAAGUAAGGGACAACACUCAGAGUGUCAAAAAGAGUUGCUUCGAAAAGACAGGUCUUUGGAGAAGCUCCGUGAGGAGAGGGAUGAGCUGAGAGUCCUGAUGGAGGACCGAAGCAGAGAGUGCGCACACCUUGACCGGAGCAAAGCCAAACUGGAGGCUGACUUGGCUCUGAGCCAUGAGAAACUCCACACCUCACACCUUGAGGUUCGAAGUAGAGAUGAGUUAAUUCUGCAGCUCAGAGCCGAAAUGAAGACAGCUGAACAGAAGCAUCGAGGAACACAGAAGCAGGUGACAGCUCUGGAGAAAGAGGUAAGACACUUAAACUGCACGAUCAGAGCGCACAAGGAAGAGGCCUGUCAGUUAAGCGAAAAGGUCAGCGAUAUCGAGCACCUUAAAGAGCAGAAGGCGAAAGAACAACAGCAGCUACAAGAGCGGCUCCGUAUUAAGGAGCAACAGGCUGAUGCAGUUGAAAAGAAGCUGAAGAAGGAGAAGGAGGAGGUGGAACUUCUCAAUCAGCAGCUGAAAGAAUCCAAGGAUGAGCUCAAAGAGGCCAAUUUGCACAACCAGGAGCAGAAAGAAACGGCUGCGAUUUUUAAGCAGAAAUACGCCGCAGCAAUAGAGAAGGCGCUCAGGGUGCAAGAGCAUGUGGAACGUCUGGAGGAGGAACUACGAUAUUCACAGGAACAGCUAAGAGAGUCGCAGUUAGCAGCUUCUUCGCUGAAGGAAGAGCUAGCUGAGCUGGAGUGCCGGUAUCAGGAAAAGGUUGGCCAGUGGGAGAGUUCACAGGAGGCUCUUGACCAACUAACAGAUGAACUUCAGGCCAGUCACAACCUGCUAAGAGAGAGCGAACAAAAAGUGGAGCACUUCAAAAACCUGAUGAGAUCUCUUCAGGAGCAGAUGGACACACUCAAUCAGCAGAAGCUUGCUGUGGAGUGUGACCUGCAGCUCUAUCGUCGGAGCCAUUCUCAUUCUGAUGAGGACUAUUUGAAUCUAGGAAGACUCAGACAGCAGCUGCAGAAGCGCUGUGCAGCACAGGUUGAACACCUUGCGGUGUGUGAAAACACUAUUCUUCAGAUGAAGUCAGAGCUGGAGAGACAAGUCCAGGAAAAGGUGGGUCUGAAACAAAGUCUCGCUGCUUCCCAGCAAACUCACCGGAGCAAUCAAAAACAGCUGGAACAGGAAGUGAUUCGUACAAAACAGGAAGUGGCAUCCUUAGAGCUUGAACUGGCGAACACCCAAAAGGUGCAGGUGGCACUCCUCAGGCAGUCAGAUGAGGCCAGACAAGAGUCUGCAAGAAAGAGCCGAGAGGUGGAUGUGGAGAGAAGAAAGGCCCAGAUGCUUCAGGAGGCGUUACACAAGGAGCAGGAGAAGCUGCAGAGUGCUAUCAGAGAGAAUGAGACCCUGAGCACUGUCAUCGGAAAGCUGAGGAAAGAGCUGGAGGAGCUGCGCAGCAGUCACCGAGUGACAGUGGAGGAGUUGGCAGCCCGUGCAGAGGAGGUGAGGCGGAUGGAGGGGUGUCUGAAUGAAGGCAAGCUAGCAGAGGAGAAAAUAAGGUCAAUGGCUGCGGGGCUGAAGAAGGAGCUGACAGAGGCUGUCCAUCAGAAACUCACAGCAGAGAGAGAGAAACAGGAUGCACUGGACCAGGGGCUUGUGAAACUUCCACCAAGGCUGGUUAUGUAG
Long non-coding RNA from Oreochromis niloticus (Nile tilapia), 2829 nucleotides. The record is from Ensembl. Lineage: Eukaryota; Metazoa; Chordata; Actinopteri; Cichliformes; Cichlidae.